This is a non-coding RNA of Cinara cedri, 571 nucleotides long. Lineage: Eukaryota; Metazoa; Arthropoda; Insecta; Hemiptera; Aphididae. The record is from the annotation of a GenBank genome assembly.
AAAAUAAUUGUUCGACAUUUGACCCCGACUGUUUUCGUACUCCAUCCCGGUUCCGUUAUGUACAAUUGUAAUCCUCGAAUCGAAGUACAUUUGUUUGUCGGCGUUUUCAAAAUCGACGUAGCGGAAUACCCCUUUUCACGUAACGCGAUUUAUAUUCGAUUAGUGUGAAACGGUACGGUUCGCUCGCAAAUUGUUAAAUCCGAUGUUGUCCAACGGCAACGCGGAAUGAUGUAGUAGCAAACUACACGGCGGUACGGUGCGUACAAUAAUUUUUCCCCGGCAAAAGACAUUGUGAGUUGUAUACAAUUUUGUAGAAUUUUAAUUUUAAAUAUUAAACCCAAUCUCAAGGCUUUUACGCGACCCGAAAUCGGGUUGAAUCGGAUGAACACCACUGACGUAGCCGUUAUAAUAACACCGCGCACGGCGCCAAUAUUAUUUUUAUGUUCGCGGCUCGCAUACCGAAUCGACGGUUUCGUGCCGUGGUGUUUAUUGUGUUGCACAGCCCCGGGUAACGUUACGACGUUUUCCCUUAUUUUUUUCACCCUUCGUUUUCCGAGUGAAACCACAACCC